UGGGGCCCUGGAGCCGCUUCUUCCUGGAGCUGAAUGGGGAAUUAGCUCUAGUCCUUACAAGGACUUUCCUUGUCGAAUCUCCUGCAAGCCGGUACAGCAGACACAGGAGCAAAUCUCACCGAACAGUGCCCUUCUAAGCUGAAUAGAAACGAACGCAGGCGAUGAUGGAAGUUCAGCGGUGUUCGGGAGUUUCUGUAUCCGAUUU
Molecule: non-coding RNA, 205 nt
Organism: Pelobates cultripes (western spadefoot toad)
Lineage: Eukaryota; Metazoa; Chordata; Amphibia; Anura; Pelobatidae
Source: the annotation of a GenBank genome assembly